This 95-nucleotide small RNA is filed under the name Chryseobacterium aquaeductus. RNAcentral describes it as "Flavo-1 RNA". It matches the Rfam family "Flavo-1 RNA". The record is from Rfam by way of RNAcentral. Lineage: Bacteria; Pseudomonadati; Bacteroidota; Flavobacteriia; Flavobacteriales; Weeksellaceae.
UUAUAGCCCGGAUAGAAACGGCAUCCUUUUUUUGCGGUGGACGAAGCGAAGUGGAGACCACUGCAAAAAAGAUAUAGUGAAUAGCCGGAUAAGCU